GUGCUUGCUUCCUCAGCACAUAUACAAAAAUUGGAAAAAUACAGAGAAGAUUAGAAUGGCCCCUGCUCAAGGAUGACAUGCAAAUCCAUGAAGCAUUCCAUAUUUUU
Small nuclear RNA from Arvicanthis niloticus (Nile rat), 107 nucleotides. The record is from RefSeq and is a predicted model, not a curated record. Lineage: Eukaryota; Metazoa; Chordata; Mammalia; Rodentia; Muridae.